AAAAAACUCUGUACAAUUGAUACCGAUGAAGCAUUGUGCAGAG
Molecule: non-coding RNA, 43 nt
Filed under: uncultured Muricomes sp.
Lineage: Bacteria; Bacillati; Bacillota; Clostridia; Lachnospirales; Lachnospiraceae
Description: uup RNA
Rfam family: uup RNA
Source: RNAcentral